This 496-nucleotide ribosomal RNA is filed under the name uncultured bacterium. Its description in RNAcentral is "partial 16S ribosomal RNA". It matches the Rfam family "Bacterial small subunit ribosomal RNA", at positions 29 to 507 of the family's 1533-position model. The record is from RNAcentral.
AUGAACGCUGGCGGCGUGCCUAAUACAUGCAAGUCGAGCGAACGGACGAGAAGCUUGCUUCUCUGAUGUUAGCGGCGGACGGGUGAGUAAAACGUGGAUAACCUACCUAUAAGACUGGGAUAACUUCGGGAAACCGGAGCUAAUACCGGAUAAUAUUUUGAACCGCAUGGUUCAAAAGUGAAAGACGGUCUUGCUGUCACUUAUAGAUGGAUCCGCGCUGCAUUAGCUAGUUGGUAAGGUAACGGCUUACCAAGGCAACGAUGCAUAGCCGACCUGAGAGGGUGAUCGGCCACACUGGAACUGAGACACGGUCCAGACUCCUACGGGAGGCAGCAGUAGGGAAUCUUCCGCAAUGGGCGAAAGCCUGACGGAGCAACGCCGCGUGAGUGAUGAAGGUCUUCGGAUCGUAAAACUCUGUUAUUAGGGAAGAACAUAUGUGUAAGUAACUGUGCACAUCUUGACGGUACCUAAUCAGAAAGCCACGGCUAACUACGUG